This 253-nucleotide ribosomal RNA is filed under the name uncultured bacterium. RNAcentral's name for it is "partial 16S ribosomal RNA". It matches the Rfam family "Bacterial small subunit ribosomal RNA", at positions 524 to 776 of the family's 1533-position model. The record is from RNAcentral.
UACGAAGGGGGCUAGCGUUGCUCGGAAUCACUGGGCGUAAAGGGUGCGUAGGCGGGUCUUUAAGUCAGGGGUGAAAUCCUGGAGCUCAACUCCAGAACUGCCUUUGAUACUGAGGAUCUUGAGUCCGGGAGAGGUGAGUGGAACUGCGAGUGUAGAGGUGAAAUUCGUAGAUAUUCGCAAGAACACCAGAGGCGAAGGCGGCUCACUGGCCCGGUACUGACGCUGAGGCACGAAAGCGUGGGGAGCAAACAGG